This 253-nucleotide ribosomal RNA is filed under the name uncultured bacterium. RNAcentral's name for it is "partial 16S ribosomal RNA". It matches the Rfam family "Bacterial small subunit ribosomal RNA", at positions 524 to 776 of the family's 1533-position model. The record is from RNAcentral.
UACGUAGGGUGCAAGCGUUAAUCGGAAUUACUGGGCGUAAAGCGUGCGCAGGCGGUUUUGUAAGGCAGAUGGGAAAGCCCCGGGCUUAACCUGGGAACUGCGUUUGAAACUACAAGGCUAGAGUGUGGCAGAGGGGGGUGGAAUUCCACGUGUAGCAGUGAAAUGCGUAGAGAUGUGGAGGAACACCGAUGGCGAAGGCAGCCCCCUGGGUUAACACUGACGCUCAGGCACGAAAGCGUGGGGAGCAAACAGG